Molecule: non-coding RNA, 45 nt
Organism: Schistosoma mansoni
Lineage: Eukaryota; Metazoa; Platyhelminthes; Trematoda; Strigeidida; Schistosomatidae
Source: Rfam
AUCCAGCUGACGAGUCUCUAACGGGACGAAACGCAAGUCCUGGAU